GUUAAACGGAUGCUUGGAAGUAAACGGAAGCGUCAUCUCCAAGAUGGAGCUAAACGCUGCAAAGUAAGUCAGGAGUCAUGAAGCAGCUUGGCUGAUUUUUGGAUUCUCUACUGAUUGUGUUUCUGCCGCAGGAGCAAACGCAGCCUCCAGAAACGACUGUGGAAAAGACUGCAAUGGGACAAAGUAUGACACACAAGAAGCUGCUUGCUGUGGAAACAAACUUUACCCAGGGGCGAGUCUGUCUUGUUGUGGAAAGGAACCUUACAAUCCUGAAAAAGCAACCUGUUGCAAAGUACAAGACGGAAACACUCUCAGAGCCAAUGUUACUCAUGGUCUGAGUGAAAAGGUGUCCAACUGCUGUGGGCUGAAGCCCUACAACCCUGUCAAUGAAGUAUGCUGUCAAUCAACCAUCACUGCAAAACCUGGACUAAUGGCUGAAUGUUGCGGUAAAGAGGCUUUUGCCAAGGACAAGCAAUUGUGUUGCGGUGCAAGUGAUAAUAAGAAGAUUCUGGUGAGAAAUUCCAGUUUCCACCGGUGCUGCGGGCACAACCAGUAUGAUAACAGGACUCAGUGCUGCUGUGAGAAUGAAGGUGUUCUGGAGGUACAACCGAAGGAUUCAUCUUGCUGUGACAAGAGCUCCACUACAGGAGUGCAUAAUGUAGGAAUUCUGCAUUGUGGUCCGAAUGAUAAUAAGAAGAGUCUGGUGAAGAAUUCCACUUUCCACCAGUGCUGCGGUCACAACCAGUAUGACAACAGGACUCAGUGCUGCUGUGUGAAUGAAGGUGUUCUGGAGGUACAACCGAAGCAUUCAUCUUGCUGUGACAAGAGCUCCACUACAGGAGUGCAAAAUGUGGGAAUUCUGCAUUGUGGUCCGAAUGAUAAUAAGAAGAGUCUGGUGAGGAAUUCCACUUUCCACCAGUGCUGCGGUCACCACCAGUAUGACAACAGGACUCAGUGCUGCUGUGAGAAUGAAGGUUUUCUGGAGGUACAACCGAAGCAUUCAUCUUGCUGUGCAAAGGAGUCAGCUAACCCUGAAGGUUUUCAACAACUGACACAUGAGCUCCAACACUUUUGCACUGAACCAAACACACAUCUCUGUGGGUCGACAUGUUACAAUCCAAAGACGCAUCGUUGCUGUGAGAGACACCAAAAGCCUUUUUGGUUCUGCGCCUCAGGUCAAAGCAAGGCCAGGGUGUAUGACCCACGUAUAGAAGUCUGCCGUGAUGGAUCCGUAUUUCAAUGCAAGCCGUGGCUAGAUCAAUUUUAUGGCAGCCCGGGACAACACUGCUGUGGGACGGAAAUUUACCGGCCUCGUACUGAGAUCUGCUGCAAUGGACACAGACACCCCAAAUCAGAAAACCUUCACUGCUGUGGGGUCAAAGCCUACAACAUUAAAGACCCACAGAUGAAGUGCUGUGCAGGAACACUGUACAAUCUGACAUCAUUAGACAAGCAUGGAGGGGACGCUCAGUGCUGCGGAUCCAUCCUGCAAAAGCCACAGGAUAUUUGCUGCUCAAGCCAGGAAAAAGAGGUGCUUUACUCUGUCAAGACAGGAUUUGGAUGCUGUGGUCACCUCUAUUACAACACCAGCCUGUGCUCAUGCUGUGCGGAGAGGCUGAGAAGAAUCCAUGAACCAGGAAAGGAUCAGAGAAACAUGAUGCAUGGAUCCAGACUUCUAUCUUUGAAUAAUCUAAACACAAGUGAUCUCUGCAAAGAAAUGUACAUUGGGACUGUGGAAAGUGUGUCUGUGAAGAGCGUUGUGUUCAGGAAUGUGCUAUGGGUUCAUGGGAAAUAUUCCAACGUGACAGCUCUGCCUUUGCAUCACAUCUUGGACAUAGAUGAUCACUGCAAAUCACCUAAACUGUUUCUUGGGAAGACCUACAUCUUUAACAACGUUAAUAUUUUCACUGAUUUCAACCAUGACUCUGUUCUUCAGUCGCUCCAUUUCAUUUUUUAUAAAUGUUCAUCUUAGAUCACCACUGUCUGAUCUAUGUAUGGUCAGUUAUUAGCUAUUCCCUUGUUUUUGUCUUAGAACAAGUAAUUAAUUUUUAUUUACUCAGUGCUGGUUUUCUUACUCUAAAAUAGUGCUACACUAAGAGUAAUGCAUAGGGGUUUUUUAUCCUCAGAAGAAUGUACUGUUAAAGUACUCAUUACAGGGAUGUUCUCUUACAUGGUCUAUUAACAAUAUAACACUGAACCUUAGAAAUGCCCAUUAAUUUGUAAAACUCUACCCUAAAAGGAAAGACCAUUGAAGCUUAACAUUUGGGCACUUUGCUGGUGUAAGCAUAAAAUCAAAGAACCAGCCAUAUUUCUAUCACACAUUUUAUUUUUACAUUAGUUAUUGUUGUGCAAGCACACAUGAAAAUGUUUUAAAAUGUGAUCUUUUUAAUCUUUUUGUUACCUAAAUAAUUGAAGAACAUGUAACUCAAUUGAAUUAAUUCAUUAACUGAAAUAUGUUUACUCAAUAAUGCAUUAUAGAAAAAAUUAACUUGAUUAGGGAUUGCAUUACUUUUCAACUGUUUAAAUUUAAAAAAUCCAGAAUUAGUUAUUAGUGAUAUUACUUACAAGUUGCUAUCAGUAAUGCAUUAAAUGUUCAACGCUCAUUUCCAUCCAAACCAUGUUGCUCUGUUUUUGAACGCAUCCCAAAAUGUGUGCUCGGUAAUUACUACUGUUACACAGCUAAUUAGUGCACAGUGUUGUUAACUUAUACAUGCAGUAAUGCAAUAUGACCAUUAUCUUUCAAAGUCUUAAAAAGCUAAAGUAGUAACUAGGAUAUCCAAGCUAGUGUUGGUUUGAAAUUAACAGUAGCUAACACCUUAGCUAUCAGUGUAACAGGAAGCAAGGCAUGCAAGAAUGUUAGCAUACAGCUUAACGGUCACAUAAGCUAAACUGCUAUCAGCUAAUAUUGUUUGUCAUUUGAAAUUUUUGUGACUGUUAUUUCUAUGCCUCUUUUUUGCACUGAACUAAAUUGUAAAUGGCAACUAUUUGCACUUUUUGAACCAUACAAUUGAAUGUAUAAAUGUACUGUAAAGCAUGAUUUAUUUGAAAGAUAAAGCUUGUAACUGUCAAAUGGUUAGUUGACAAUACCAUUAUUAUAAGCACCCCAGUUCUCACUGAUCCCUCUAAAAAUGCAAUAUUUCUGUUUCUUUGUAAGUACCUACUUUUAAUCACCUUGACCCAAGUUAUUUUUAUAUAUGUGACUUUCGGGAAGAUGUUUGGCAUUUAUUGUACUGUGUCUUUACUAAAUUGGUAAGAACAUACCUUUAAGCUACUAACAGGACAAGCUCAUGAUAUACAGUAUAUAUAUUAUAUAUUAUAUUGCAUGUUUAUAUUUAAUAUUUAAUAGCACCUCCUGUAUUAUUAAGUUUUAAAUAAAUAAGAAGAUAAGAAUAAUUGAAUGUGUGUGUGAUUUUUUUUAUUACUUUUAUUACUUAUUAUUUUAUUUAUUACUUUAUUACUUUUUAUUACAUAACAAUUUAUUGGACUAUAUAUACAUAACUAUUACUACAUUUUAUAUACACAUUGUUUAUUUGUAUAUUUGUAGAUAUUCAACAGAAUUAGAUAAUAAAUCAAUACUCUGUGCUU
Astatotilapia calliptera (eastern happy) is the source of this 3585-nucleotide long non-coding RNA. The record is from Ensembl. NCBI's taxonomy places the organism in Eukaryota, Metazoa, Chordata, Actinopteri, Cichliformes, Cichlidae.